UAGGGAAUAUUGGUAAUGUGCGAAAGCGCGAACCAGCAACGCCGCGUGCGCGAUGACGGCCUUCGGGUUGUAAAGCGCUUUUAGAGGAGAUGAGAAAGGACAGUAUCCUCUGAAUAAGCCUCGGCGAACUACGUGCCAGCAGCCGCGGUAAAACGUAGGAGGCUAGCGUUAUCCGGAUUUAUUGGGCGUAAAGCGCGUGCAGGCGGUCUAGUUAGUUGGAUGUGAAAGCUCCUGGCUUAACUGGGAGAGGUCGUUCAAUACUGCUAGACUAGAGAAUGGGAGAGGGAGGUGGAAUUCCGGGUGUAGUGGUGAAAUGCGUAGAUAUCCGGAGGAACACCAGUGGCGAAAGCGGCCUCCUAGACCACUUCUGACGCUAAGACGCGAAAGCUAGGGUAGCAAACG
Molecule: ribosomal RNA, 402 nt
Filed under: uncultured prokaryote
Description: bacterial SSU rRNA
Rfam family: Bacterial small subunit ribosomal RNA
Source: RNAcentral